This 77-nucleotide transfer RNA is filed under the name Anaerolineae bacterium. RNAcentral describes it as "tRNA-Val". It matches the Rfam family "tRNA". Rfam says of the family: Transfer RNA (tRNA) molecules are approximately 80 nucleotides in length. Their secondary structure includes four short double-helical elements and three loops (D, anti-codon, and T loops). Further hydrogen bonds mediate the characteristic L-shaped molecular structure. tRNAs have two regions of fundamental functional importance: the anti-codon, which is responsible for specific mRNA codon recognition, and the 3' end, to which the tRNAs corresponding amino acid is attached (by aminoacyl-tRNA synthetases). tRNAs cope with the degeneracy of the genetic code in two manners: having more than one tRNA (with a specific anti-codon) for a particular amino acid; and 'wobble' base-pairing, i.e. permitting non-standard base-pairing at the 3rd anti-codon position. The record is from RNAcentral. Lineage: Bacteria; Bacillati; Chloroflexota; Anaerolineae.
GGGCAAGUAGCUCAGCUGGUCAGAGCGCCACGUUGACAUCGUGGAGGCCGUAGGUUCGAGUCCUAUCUUGCCCACCA